This 253-nucleotide ribosomal RNA is filed under the name uncultured bacterium. RNAcentral's name for it is "partial 16S ribosomal RNA". It matches the Rfam family "Bacterial small subunit ribosomal RNA", at positions 524 to 776 of the family's 1533-position model. The record is from RNAcentral.
UACGGGGGGGGCAAGCGUUGUUCGGAAUUACUGGGCGUAAAGGGCUCGUAGGCGGCCAACUAAGUCAGACGUGAAAUCCCCAGGCUCAACCUGGGAACUGCGUCUGAUACUGGAUGGCUUGAAUCCGGGAGAGGGAUGCAGAAUUCCAGGUGUAGCGGUGAAAUGCGUAGAUAUCUGGAGGAAUACCGGUGGCGAAGGCGGCAUCCUGGACCGACAUUGACGCUGAGGAGCGAAAGCCAGGGGAGCAAACGGG